GGACACGCGCCUGGCUCCGCCCCCGGCCCCGCCGGCCGCGCGCCCCCACCCCGGCUGAGACCGGCCCCGCGAGGCGCGCAGGGUCCUCACUUGUGGAAAGAAACGGGCUUGUCCUUGUCGUAGCGGUUCUUGCAGCCGUAGGCGGAGCAGGACUGCACCAUCCUUCCGGUCCUCAGGCACUUCACUUCUGCCGCCGCAGAAGGCAGGGGAAGCUGUUCUCAGUGUCGCUGCGCUCGGUUGGAUUCCCUCGCUUCUUUUGUAGCUUUGGCCAACAGUUACAGUGAUGGUGGCCUCCCUCGGGGGUGACUAGUGUGCCCGUUUUGUUGUUUGCAUUAGCAGAAGGACCACAGCCAUCGCCCGUCUCCCAUCUCCAAGAUGGCGGAGGCAGCUUCAACCUCACCUCUCGCGAGGGGUGCGUCCCACUGUCUCUGAUUAGCCCCGAGGUCAGAGGUAUCACAAGUUUCUGUGAGAGCCAACGUGACAGAUUUUUAGCAAUGAAAAAAGACACACUCGCCAAAUCAUCUCAAUUGCCAACGCAGAAGCGUUUUAUAUAUAUGUAUGUAUAUGUAUGUAUAUAUGUGUGUAUGUAUAUAUGUGUGUGUGUAUGUAUAUAUAUAUAUAUAUAUGUAAUUUUUUAAAUAAAUAGAGGCGUUGUCUCCCCACGUUGCCCAGGUCAGUCUGGAACUCGAGCUCAAGGGAUCCUCCCAUCUCGACCUCCCCAUGGGUUGGGAUUACAGGAGUUGAGCCACCAGGCUGUCCCUCCCCAGAAGCUUUUCUGAAGGCUCUCCAUUGCUGUGAUUUCCAUGUGCUGUGUUGCAAAUAGCGAACUGCUGCAGCAAUUUUCACACCUGAGAGAGAAUAUGUUAGAGGGGUUCGAACUAGAGCGACUCUGUGUUGAGUGAGGGCUAGGAAAAUGAGGCUGGGACUUGCUGGGCUGCAUUCCCGGGAAGUUAGGUAUUCCUAGCCUCUAGAUGUGUAUACCAUUAAGGCAACAGAUUGAUAAUGUUUACUACACAGACCCAGACUACCAAGUGUCCAGAUAUCCCGAUAUUUUGAGAACAGAAGCAUUCCUAAUUUUGCUUUAAAGAUAAUAAUAUUGGGCUGGGCACAGUGCCUCACGCCUGUAAUCCCAGCACUUUGGAAGGCCGAGGCGGGCGGAUCACUUGAGGUCAGGAGUUCAAGACUAGCCUGGUCAACAUGGUGAAAACGUCUCUACUAAAAAUACAAAAAUUAACCGGGUGUGGUGGCACAUGCCCUCGAAUUUCAGCUACUCUGGAGGCUGAGGCAGGAUAAUCGCUUGAAUCCGGGAGGCGGGGGUUGCAGUGAGCCGUGCUUGCACCACUGCACUCCAGCCUGGGCGACAGAGUAAGACUCUGUCUCAUAAAUAAAGAUAAUAUCGAUUCUUACAUAAUAUAGUAAUUAAUCCUUUAUCACAAACCCUUGUAGCAAAGCACAUCUCCCCAUGAUCUUUUUUUAUCCUAUAUAUAAACUAAGUGUUGUACUUAGGGUGGACGCGUUCCUCCUCUUACUUUCGGGAAUGCCCUACUCUGUCUGUGGAGUAGCUGUACUUUCACCACUUUACGUUCUUAAUAAACUUGCUUUUGCUUUGUACUGUGGACUUGCCCUGAAUUCUGUCUUGCGUGAGAUCCAAGAACCCUGUCUUGGGGUCUGGAUUGGGACCCCUUUCCUGUAACAGUUUUACUUCAUUCCCUGCUCCUUUUCUUUAUAUAGAUCUGAGCCAGGCAGACCUGGAGAGCGGACUGUUGAGUAAUCCCUUGGCCCUUAUUCUCUACCUUUCCUGCCCUUUUAAAUGUUGCUGUUUCCCCAGGGUUCCAUCUUCUGCCCUCCUCUAACUCCUAAACACCCUGCUCCUUAAACUGAACCAAAUACCAUAAUUCUCUCAUCUUUUAUUUCCUUUGUAUAUCCGUUCUGCCUUUGGGAUUAUCAUCUGUGAAUUAUCAUCUGUGAAUUAUCUGUUCAACAGUUGUCUAAACCAGAAACCUUGGAGUCAUCUUGGAUUUUUUUUGUCACCCAUAAAACCCGUUGAUGACCAGGUUAAUUUUGUAGACUAAAUAAAUAAAUGCCCCUUAAAUCCA
Homo sapiens (human) is the source of this 2096-nucleotide long non-coding RNA. RefSeq lists it as uncharacterized. NCBI's taxonomy places the organism in Eukaryota, Metazoa, Chordata, Mammalia, Primates, Hominidae. The record is from RefSeq and is a predicted model, not a curated record. The transcript is spliced from 2 exons.